UACGUAGGUGGCAAGCGUUGUCCGGAUUUAUUGGGCGUAAAGAGCUCGUAGGCGGUUUGGUAAGUCGGAUGUGAAAUCUCCAGGCUCAACCUGGAGGGGUCAUUCGAGACUGCUAUGACUAGAGUUCGGUAGAGGAGUGUGGAAUUCCUGGUGGAGCGGUGAAAUGCGCAGAUAUCAGGAGGAACACCCGUAGCGAAGGCGGCACUCUGGGCCGAUACUGACGCUGAGGAGCGAAAGCGUGGGGAGCGAACAGG
RNAcentral lists this ribosomal RNA (254 nucleotides) under uncultured bacterium. RNAcentral describes it as "partial 16S ribosomal RNA". It matches the Rfam family "Bacterial small subunit ribosomal RNA", at positions 524 to 776 of the family's 1533-position model. The record is from RNAcentral.